This 205-nucleotide small RNA is filed under the name Azorhizobium caulinodans ORS 571. RNAcentral describes it as "Bradyrhizobiaceae sRNA BjrC174". It matches the Rfam family "Bradyrhizobiaceae sRNA BjrC174". The record is from Rfam by way of RNAcentral. Lineage: Bacteria; Pseudomonadati; Pseudomonadota; Alphaproteobacteria; Hyphomicrobiales; Xanthobacteraceae.
AUCACGCGCUCGUCACUGCCCACCACAGUCUCGCCGCCUUUCGGUCAAGCGGGGGACAAUCGCUUGGGCGAUCUUCAUACCCGUAGCAGGGCCGGUUCCGCCGCUCCGGUCUAUCCCAGCCCCCCAGCCCCCCGGGGUGGUGUGAACCGGUCACUGCUACGCUUCCAAAUUUUGAACUUCCAAGGCCGCGCAAGCGGCCUUUUUG